AUACGGAGGAUCCGAGCGUUAUCCGGAUUUAUUGGGUUUAAAGGGAGCGUAGGUGGACAGUUAAGUCAGUUGUGAAAGUUUGCGGCUCAACCGUAAAAUUGCAGUUGAUACUGGCUGGCUUGAGUACAGUAGAGGUGGGCGGACUUUAUGGGGGAGCGGUGAAAUGCUUAGAUAUCCCGAAGAACUCCGAUUGCGAAGGCAGCUCACUGGACUGCAACUGACACUGAUGCUCGAAAGUGUGGGUAUCAAACAGGAUUAGAUACCCUGGUAGUCCACACAGUAAACGAUGAAUACUCGCUGUUUGCGAUAUACAGUAAGCGGCCAAGCGAAAGCAUUAAGUAUUCCACCUGGGGAGUACGCCGGCAACGGUGAAACUCAAAGGAAUUGACGGGG
Molecule: ribosomal RNA, 393 nt
Filed under: uncultured bacterium
Lineage: Bacteria
Description: partial 16S ribosomal RNA
Rfam family: Bacterial small subunit ribosomal RNA
Source: RNAcentral